CGCGGCUCCAGGUGGCGGGAGGCGGCGGUUGGCGGGAAGGGCCGCGCGGGCCCGGGGGCGGCGCCUCAGCCUCCCUCUUUGUGCUCCUUUCCCCUGCUGCCCUUCCAGAUGCGCUCUUUCCAGAAAGGCAGCACACGCAUGUCUCUGCCGUGGCCCCAGAUCCUCCCCGCGCCGCCGUUUUGAGCGUUCACACUCAUUACCCAGGUCCGUCUGGGAGACCCGCCGGGCUCCCGCCCUCCCGGCCCGCAGCCUCCUGGCCAAAAUCCUCCCGGGACACCCCACCUGGACUGCUGCGAACGGGCCUCCACCCGCCUCCCCGGACCCGCAGCGCCCCCCGCUCCCUCAGGGUUCUGGGGUGAAGGGGUCUGAAUAGCACCAGGGGAGGCGGCAGGGCGGGCCUGUCCUACCUGCGCCCGAGCACUGCUGAGACGACAUCCCUUCCAGCGCCGCCACGUAGUCCAGCCCCAGCCAGCCGCGGUCCUGGAAGCACCGCAGGCAGACGACCUGCUCCUCACUGGGCUCAGGCAGGGUCACCCGCCCAGUGCCGCUAGCUGCAAAUUGCUUUACAUACAGUGACCCAAAGAGCAAGUCAUUUCAGGGCCCCACCACUCUGAUUGGAAGUCAUAAGCUUGACAACUGAUUGGCCUCUGUCACCCAAGCGGGUGUGGGGACACUAGGCCCGCAGGUGCCACUGGAAGAGGCGUUCAGAAGCACUGCGGUGCUCCAGCUCCUGGAUGCAGAUAUCUCCCCACAAACCUAAACAAUUUCGAGAGGGACUUGUGUUCUGCAACCAGUCACAGAAUAUCAGGUGAGCUGGGCGUGUCUUCACUGACCCACCCGCCCAGGGAUGCUGCACUCCUCUCCACCCUGCUCAGAAUCACUAGAAUGACCGUUCUGUGGCUACAGCCCUAAAAGAGCUACUAAAAAGACCAGAAGUAGUAUGAGAACUUAUGAAUACGAAUAUAAAUAAAGGACAUCUGGAGAACAUGCA
This 991-nucleotide long non-coding RNA is filed under the name Homo sapiens (human). Its description in RNAcentral is "HSALNT0317629". Lineage: Eukaryota; Metazoa; Chordata; Mammalia; Primates; Hominidae. The record is from RNAcentral.